RNAcentral lists this small RNA (68 nucleotides) under Yersinia ruckeri. RNAcentral describes it as "RtT sRNA". It matches the Rfam family "RtT RNA", at positions 33 to 99 of the family's 130-position model. Rfam says of the family: This family represents a bacterial cis-regulatory element known as RtT RNA. The exact function of RtT is unknown although it is thought that it may be involved in changing the cellular response in relation to amino acid starvation. The record is from RNAcentral. Lineage: Bacteria; Pseudomonadati; Pseudomonadota; Gammaproteobacteria; Enterobacterales; Yersiniaceae.
CGGUCGGAAGUUCGAGCCGAGCGUAGCGAGACAACGUUGCUUUAGCAACGGCCCGAAGGGCGAGGCUC